Molecule: RNA transcript, 1786 nt
Organism: Juglans microcarpa x Juglans regia
Lineage: Eukaryota; Viridiplantae; Streptophyta; Magnoliopsida; Fagales; Juglandaceae
Gene name: inositol-tetrakisphosphate 1-kinase 1-like
Exons: 2
Source: RefSeq, a predicted model, not a curated record
CUCCUAUCUCCGUUGCCCUUCUCUCGCGCUCUCUAUUUCUUUCUGCCAUUGUCGUUCGACUCCUUCUCUCCAAAGCUCUCUUUCUUUAAAGAACCUUUGAAAAGGACGUUGAAGUUCUCUGCUUCGAUUUGCUAACCUAGCAAGACUCCUCGAAUUGCUCUCUUUUAUGUUUGCGUUUUCACAUUUGCUGAUUUUCUCGUGUUCUCUCUACGGGAAUUGCCCCCAAUGGCUGACGAGUGCAGAUUCAGAAUAGGAUACGCCUUGGCGCCGAAGAAACAGAACAGCUUCAUCCGAGACUCUCUGCUGAAUCUUGCGGGGUCUCGUGGCGUGGAUCUCGUCAAGAUUGACCCGACCCUGCCGCUGGUGGAUCAGGGCCUAUUCGACUGCGUACUACACAAAUUGUACGGUGAGGAGUGGAAGCAGCAACUGGAAGAGUUCCGUCUCAGGAACCCUAAUGCGGCCAUCGUGGACCCCCCCGAUGCGAUCGAGCGCCUCCACAACCGAAUCUCCAUGCUACAGGUCGUUUCGGAUCUCAGGAUAGAGUCCCGGAACGAAACGUUCGGGAUCCCCAAGCAAAUCGUCAUCUACGACAAUGAAACCCUCUUCGAUGGGCAGGCAUGGGAGAGCCUCAAGUUCCCGGUGAUCGCAAAGCCCUUGGUCGCCGACGGCAGUGCCAAAUCGCACAGAAUGAACUUGGUGUUCAACCACGACGGACUAAACAAGCUCAGGCCCCCGAUUGUCCUCCAAGAAUUCGUGAACCACGGCGGGGUCAUCUUCAAGGUCUACGUUGUCGGCCAGUACGUCAGGUGCGUGAAACGCAAGUCGUUGCCGGACGUCUCAGAAGAGAAAUUGGGUGUCUCUGAAAGCGUAUUGUCGUUUUCGCAGGUAUCGAAUGUCGCUAGCAACGAAAAGGUUGACGACAAAUACUACAAGAUGAUGCAUUUGGACGAUACUGAGAUGCCGCCGCAGAGUUUCCUCACUGAUAUCGCCAACGGACUGCGGCAUGCCCUGAAACUGAAUCUCUUUAACUUCGAUGUCAUUCGGGACGCGAGGUCUGGGAGUCGCUACCUUAUAAUUGACAUCAAUUACUUUCCCGGGUAUGCCAAAGUGCCGGGUUACGAGACUUUAUUGACGGAUUUCUUCUUGGAUGUAGUGAAUAAGGAAGAGAAGGAGGUGGUGAAGGUGAUUAGUUCUGACAAAGAUAUAAGAAAGAUUGUGAGCGAUAAUUUUUGCAGUGAUGGGAAUGAAAUUGGUCCGGACGAGACGGAGAAGUCGAUUCAAUCCUGGCAUCAAUGUUAGCAAAUUACCCGGUAAAUCGGGUGAAGGGUGUGAUUUGGUUGUAUUGGGGUUUAGGUAGAAGAUGGUUUUGGUACAGUUUGGAAUUGAGUAGGUUUCGAUGACGGGUAUUAGAGUUUUAGCCUCUUAACAGCAAUUACGUGUUGUGUCAAUGUUGAUGAUGUAUAUUCCACCUGCAGUUUUACUCUGGAGAUAGGCUACAACCUAUGUUCAACUCUGUGAUUUCUACUCCUUGUAUUGGUGUUGGAUCCAAUGUCACUAUAAUGGUGUCAAACUUCGAACACCCUGCACUGGAAUCAGAUUCGCCAUGCUCUUUGGUAUCUGAUCCAAUCAUCUCUGCUAGCUUUUGUGGAUCAUUCUUACUGUAAGGUAUAUCUUUUAUAUGAGAUAUAGACAAAAAUUAAUUUUCAGCAUGUUAUCUGAUUCAGUCAUCUCAGCGGUGUUGUUGGAUGAGCAAUAUUUAUUCUGUAGAGAUCAAAGAUGAAAAUUC